Molecule: transfer RNA, 76 nt
Filed under: alpha proteobacterium HIMB114
Lineage: Bacteria; Pseudomonadati; Pseudomonadota; Alphaproteobacteria; Candidatus Pelagibacterales; Candidatus Pelagibacteraceae
Also listed under: 3 other names
Description: tRNA-Thr
Rfam family: tRNA
About the family: Transfer RNA (tRNA) molecules are approximately 80 nucleotides in length.
Source: RNAcentral
GCCCAAAUAGCUCAAUUGGUAGAGCAACUGAUUUGUAAUCAGUAGGUUGGGAGUUCGAUUCUCUCUUUGGGCACCA